Molecule: non-coding RNA, 30 nt
Filed under: Homo sapiens (human)
Lineage: Eukaryota; Metazoa; Chordata; Mammalia; Primates; Hominidae
Source: RNAcentral
UGUGAAUGACAAGAGGAGCCAGAAGGGUGU